Molecule: ribosomal RNA, 2896 nt
Filed under: Clostridioides difficile
Lineage: Bacteria; Bacillati; Bacillota; Clostridia; Peptostreptococcales; Peptostreptococcaceae
Description: bacterial LSU rRNA
Rfam family: Bacterial large subunit ribosomal RNA
Source: RNAcentral
UCAAGUUAUUAAGGGUGCAGGGCGGAUGCCUUGGCACUAGGAGCCGAUGAAGGACGUGAUAAGCUGCGAUAAGCUUCGGGGAGUUGCACGUAAACUUUGAUCCGAAGAUUUCCGAAUGAGGAAACUCACUUAGAGUAAUGUCUAAGUAUCAUUAAGUGAAUACAUAGCUUAAUGAGGGGAACUCAGGGAACUGAAACAUCUAAGUACCUGAAGGAAGAGAAAGAAAUUCGAUUCCGUAAGUAGCGGCGAGCGAACGCGGAUUAGCCCAAACCAAUAAAGUUUUCUUUAUUGGGGUUGCGGACAUAUCAUAACGAAGAGGUAUCGUAAUUGAAGAGGUUUGGAAAGACCCACCACAGAAGGUAAUAGUCCUGUAUGUUAAACGAGAAGACUUCAGAUAUGAUCCAGAGUACCACGGGACACGUGAAACCCUGUGGGAAGCAGGAGGGACCACCCUCCAAGGCUAAAUACUACCUAGUGACCGAUAGCGUAUAGUACCGUGAGGGAAAGGUGAAAAGAACCCCGGGAGGGGAGUGAAAUAGAACCUGAAACCCUGCACUUACAAGCUGUGGAAGCACAUUUCUUGUGUGACCGCGUACUUUUUGUAGAACGGGCCAACGAGUUACGUUAAGUAGCAAGGUUAAGCACUUAAGGUGUGGAGCCGUAGCGAAAGCGAGUUUUAACUGAGCGUUCAGUUACUUGACGUAGACCCGAAACCGGGCGACCUACCCAUGAGCAGGAUGAAGCGAAAGUAAAAUUUCGUGGAGGUCCGAACCCACGAGCGUUGAAAAGCUCGGGGAUGACUUGUGGGUAGCGGUGAAAUUCCAAUCGAGCCCGGAGAUAGCUGGUUCUCCCCGAAAUAGCUUUAGGGCUAGCCUCAAGGUGAGAGAUACGGAGGUAGAGCACUGAAUGUCCUAGGGGGUAUUGCACCUACCGAAGACUAUCAAACUCCGAAUGCCGUCAUCUUAUACUUGGGAGUCAGACUGUGGGUGAUAAGAUUCAUAGUCGAAAGGGCAACAGCCCAGAUCGUCAGCUAAGGUCCCUAAAUGUAAGUUAAGUGGUAAAGGAUGUGGGAUUGCACAGACAACCAGGAUGUUGGCUUAGAAGCAGCCACUCAUUCAAAGAGUGCGUAAUAGCUCACUGGUCGAGUGAUCCUGCGCCGAAGAUUUCCGGGGCUAAAACUUACUACCGAAGCUACGGCAUCAGUAAUGAUGGGUAGGGGAGCUUCCCAUACGGGUUGAAGCAUGACCGUAAGGACAUGUGGACAGUAUGGGAGUGAGAAUGUUGGCAUGAGUAGCGAGAUGUGGGUGAGAAUCCCACAGGCCGUAAACCCAAGGUUUCCAGGGGAAGGUUCGUCCGCCCUGGGUUAGUCGGGACCUAAGCUGAGGCCGAAAGGCGUAGGUGAUGGACAACAGGUUGAUAUUCCUGUACUACCGAUAACCAUUUGAGAGAAGGGAUGACACAGUAGGAUAAGCUAAGCACACUGUUGGUUAUGUGUGCCCAAGCAUUGAGGCAGUCAAAGUAGGCAAAUCCGCUUUGAUAAUGCUGGGAUGUGAUGGGGAGCGAAAUUUAGUAGCGAAGUAGCUGAUUUCACACUGUCAAGAAAAGUCUCUAUCGAGGUUAAAGGUACCCGUACCGCAAACCGACACAGGUGGGUGAGGAGAGUAUCCUAAGGCCAGCGAGAGAACUGUUGUUAAGGAACUCGGCAAAAUGACCCCGUAACUUAGGGAUAAGGGGUGCCACCAUCCGGUGGCCGCAGAGAAUAGGCCCAAGCGACUGUUUACCAAAAACAUAGGUUUCUGCUAAGUCGCAAGACGAUGUAUAGGAGCUGACGCCUGCCCGGUGCUGGAAGGUUAAGGGGAUCUGUUAGAGCAAUCGAAGCAGUGAACUUAAGCCCCAGUAAACGGCGGCCGUAACUAUAACGGUCCUAAGGUAGCGAAAUUCCUUGUCGGGUAAGUUCCGACCCGCACGAAAGGCGUAACGAUUUGGGCACUGUCUCAACAACAGACUCGGUGAAAUUGUAAUUCCGGUGAAGAUGCCGGAUACCUGCGACAGGACGGAAAGACCCCAUGGAGCUUUACUGUAGCUUGACAUUGGGUCUUGGUACUACAUGUACAGGAUAGGUGGGAGGCUUUGAAACCAGGACGCCAGUUUUGGCGGAGCCAUCCUUGGGAUACCACCCUUGUAGUACUGGGACUCUAACCAUAGGCCAUGAAUCUGGUCUUGGGACACUGUCAGGUGGGCAGUUUGACUGGGGCGGUCGCCUCCCAAAAGGUAACGGAGGCGCUCAAAGGUUCUCUCAGUACGGUCGGAAAUCGUACGUAGAGUGUAAAGGCAAAAGAGAGCUUGAUUGCAAGACAUACAGGUCGAGCAAGGAUGAAAAUCGGACUUAGUGAUCCGGUGGUUCUGCGUGGAAGGGCCAUCGCUCAACGGAUAAAAGCUACCCUGGGGAUAACAGGCUUAUCUCCCCCAAGAGUCCACAUCGACGGGGAGGUUUGGCACCUCGAUGUCGGCUCAUCACAUCCUGGGGCUGUAGUAGGUCCCAAGGGUUGGGCUGUUCGCCCAUUAAAGUGGUACGCGAGCUGGGUUCAGAACGUCGUGAGACAGUUCGGUCCCUAUCCGUCGCAGGCGUAGGAAAUUUGAGAAGACCUGUCCUUAGUACGAGAGGACCGGGAUGGACGUACCUCUGGUGUACCAGUUGUUCUGCCAAGGGCAUGGCUGGGUAGCUAUGUACGGAAUGGAUAAGCGCUGAAAGCAUCUAAGCGCGAAGCCAACUUCAAGAUAAGAUUUCCCACCGCAAGGGUAAGACCCCAGAAAGACUAUCUGGUUGAUAGGUCGAAGGUGUAAGUGCAGCAAUGUAUUUAGCUUAUCGAUACUAAUAGGUCGAGGACUUGACCAA